RNAcentral lists this ribosomal RNA (374 nucleotides) under uncultured bacterium. RNAcentral describes it as "bacterial SSU rRNA". It matches the Rfam family "Bacterial small subunit ribosomal RNA", at positions 524 to 896 of the family's 1533-position model. The record is from RNAcentral.
GUMCSCSAYKGMAAGCGUUAUCCGGAUUCACUGGGCGUAAAGCGCGUGCAGGUGGUUCGGUAAGUUGGACGUGAAAUCUCCUGGCUUAACUAGGAGAGGUCGUUCAAUACUACCGGACUUGAGAGUGGUAGAGGAAGAUGGAAUUCCCGGUGUAGUGGUGAAAUGCGUAGAUAUCGGGAGGAACACCAGUGGCGAAAGCGAUCUUCUGGACCAUUUCUGACACUCAGACGCGAAAGCUAGGGUAGUAAACGGGAUUAGAGACCCCGGUAAUCCUAGCCGUAAACGAUGUAAACUUGGCGUCGGUGGCUUAAACUCCAUCGGUGCCGCAGCUAACGCGAUAAGUUUACCGCCUGGGGACUACGAUCGCAAGAUUA